CAGAAGGUUACAAUACCUACAACCACUGCGAACCGUUCCUUUUAGCUGCCUCGGCGGGCAAUCCCAGGGCGGGAUUCCAGGCCUCCUUCGGGAGGCGCUCGCCGGCGGUGCGCAACGUAUCUAGCUCUGUCUCUCAGCGGAUUUCUGAGUGAUUUUAAAAAACCUUUAA
RNAcentral lists this unclassified non-coding RNA (169 nucleotides) under soil metagenome. RNAcentral's name for it is "partial internal transcribed spacer 1". The record is from RNAcentral.